CUUAGUCCUUCUCAAGUUGUAACAUCCCAAAAAUUUCAAACUUUUACAUGUGGAUUGCAUCCAUGAGCAUCAUGUCACAAUUGCAUAUUUGAAUUCAAAUUUUAUCUCAAAAGGCUUUAAAAGUUUUUAUUUCAAUUUAAACCUUAGGGUUCACACCCAUUUGAACUUUGGAUCUUCAAACCAAUAGGUUUUAUGCAUAUACAAGCUAUCCCAUAAUUUUUGGAUAAUUAUUUGGAGUUGAAAAAGUAUUUUAUUUAAAUAGAUAUAUGGCCCUAAAGGCAUUUAUAGGGCAAAUGUAUUUUUAUAUAUUUUAUUUUGAAGAGAAACUACUUCCAAAGGUUGUAUCAUGGUAGAACAUGAUUUUACAAAUUUUCUGGAAUUUAUUUGGACCAAUUUGGAGUUCAAACUCAAAAGCUAUCAAAGAAAUGCGAAAAACAGAAAAAGAAAAUGCUAAAAGAAAAAAAAGGGAGAACCGGACCGGUCCGACCGCUUGGGCCGAACCAGCCCCGAACCGAUCGCGCCCGACCACACGCGAGCCGGCCCAGCCAGCUUGGUACGCCCGCGUGCGUGCCGUUGCCACUGACAGGUGGGGCCCACCUGUCAGGGCCUUCGUUCCUGAAGGAAAGCGCCCGCGCCGCCGCCGCGAUUCCCGGCCGCCAUCCGCACGCGCUCCCCGCCGCAAUCUGCUCACCCCGACCUUCCC
This 703-nucleotide long non-coding RNA is filed under the name Brachypodium distachyon (stiff brome). RNAcentral's name for it is "long non-coding RNA (BDIS_LNC003303)". Lineage: Eukaryota; Viridiplantae; Streptophyta; Magnoliopsida; Poales; Poaceae. The record is from RNAcentral.